GAUCGAACGGUGAAGCCAAGCUUGCUUGGUGGAUCAGUGGCGAACGGGUGAGUAACACGUGAGCAACCUGCCCUGGACUCUGGGAUAAGCGCUGGAAACGGCGUCUAAUACUGGAUAUGAGCUCCUUCCGCAUGGUGGGGGUUGGAAAGAUUUUUCGGUCUGGGAUGGGCUCGCGGCCUAUCAGCUUGUUGGUGAGGUAAUGGCUCACCAAGGCGUCGACGGGUAGCCGGCCUGAGAGGGUGACCGGCCACACUGGGACUGAGACACGGCCCAGACUCCUACGGGAGGCAGCAGUGGGGAAUAUUGCACAAUGGGCGGAAGCCUGAUGCAGCAACGCCGCGUGAGGGAUGACGGCCUUCGGGUUGUAAACCUCUUUUAGCAGGGAAGAAGCGAAAGUGACGGUACCUGCAGAAAAAGCGCCGGCUAACUACGUGCCAGCAGCCGCGGUAAUACGUAGGGCGCAAGCGUUAUCCGGAAUUAUUGGGCGUAAAGAGCUCGUAGGCGGUUUGUCGCGUCUGCUGUGAAAUCCCGAGGCUCAACCUCGGGCCUGCAGUGGGUACGGGCAGACUAGAGUGCGGUAGGGGAGAUUGGAAUUCCUGGUGUAGCGGUGGAAUGCGCAGAUAUCAGGAGGAACACCGAUGGCGAAGGCAGAUCUCUGGGCCGUAACUGACGCUGAGGAGCGAAAGGGUGGGGAGCAAACAGGCUUAGAUACCCUGGUAGUCCACCCCGUAAACGUUGGGAACUAGUUGUGGGGACCAUUCCACGGUUUCCGUGACGCAGCUAACGCAUUAAGUUCCCCGCCUGGGGAGUACGGCCGCAAGGCUAAAACUCAAAGGAAUUGACGGGGACCCGCACAAGCGGCGGAGCAUGCGGAUUAAUUCGAUGCAACGCGAAGAACCUUACCAAGGCUUGACAUAUACGAGAAUGGGCCAGAAAUGGUCAACUCUUUGGACACUCGUAAACAGGUGGUGCAUGGUUGUCGUCAGCUCGUGUCGUGAGAUGUUGGGUUAAGUCCCGCAACGAGCGCAACCCUCGUUCUAUGUUGCCAGCACGUAAUGGUGGGAACUCAUGGGAUACUGCCGGGGUCAACUCGGAGGAAGGUGGGGAUGACGUCAAAUCAUCAUGCCCCUUAUGUCUUGGGCUUCACGCAUGCUACAAUGGCCGGUACAAAGGGCUGCAAUACCGUAAGGUGGAGCGAAUCCCAAAAAGCCGGUCCCAGUUCGGAUUGAGGUCUGCAACUCGACCUCAUGAAGUCGGAGUCGCUAGUAAUCGCAGAUCAGCAACGCUGCGGUGAAUACGUUCCCGGGUCUUGUACACACCGCCCGUCAAGUCAUGAAAGUCGGUAACACCUGAAGCCGGUGGCCCAACCCUUG
This 1373-nucleotide ribosomal RNA is filed under the name Microbacterium sp. RNAcentral's name for it is "bacterial SSU rRNA". It matches the Rfam family "Bacterial small subunit ribosomal RNA". The record is from RNAcentral. Lineage: Bacteria; Bacillati; Actinomycetota; Actinomycetes; Micrococcales; Microbacteriaceae.